GAAGAAGACGCUGCACGACUACGCGGCGGAGUUCACGGAGCUGGCGGUGAAGCGGCACCUGCUGGAGCGCGGCGCCGCCGGCGAGGCCGCCGUGGUGGAGACGCUCUACUGCACCUCCUGCGAGCUGCCCAUGCGGGUGCGGCGCGACCGCAUCCUCGAGCACCUCUCCUCGGGCCGCCACUACCGCAACCGCCGCCUCGGCCGCCAGCACGGCCUGCGCGCCCCGCUCCUCCUAUCUGCAGGUCCAGACCUUGGCGCUAGCCUCCCCCUCCAGCUCGAUCCUCCUUCCCUGCUUUCUCAGCCUUCCUUUAUCCUCUCGGCCAACCCUUGCAUCACCAGCGCCGGGACCAGCACGAGCUACAGCAUGGUCCCGUCUCCGCCCUCCUGCCCCAAGGCGUUGAUCCCCGUUCCCCCCGGCGCUGUCAGCUCCACGACGAGCGUCGCGUCUGCCAGAGAAGACCAGACGCCCUCUACCUCCACCAGUCGCUCUUCGGCGUUCGCUGCCUUCCAUGUGAGAAGCGCGCCCGCUCCCUCAAAGCAGACUGGCCAAAGGCUCCUUGUUCCUGAGGUCUCCGACAGCGCCGUUCCCGGAGGGGCGGUGGGACGGAGCAGCAGUACUGCUAGCAGUAUCGGCAUCGGCCUCGCCCUCUUUGGCGUAGGGCUCGUUGACAAAGCAUUGUUUCAGAGUUUAAUGGAAGAGAAUAGUUGCUGUUUGCUUUACAUCGUGGAAAAUCAGCUGCAGGAGGUGGAACGUGCCUUCAGCGCGGAAUUUUUGGCCAAUACCAGGGUGCUGCGGCAACAGGAUGCUGACGUUGUGCUCAGUGAUCAACGGGUCUCUGGAGCCAUUAUUUCUUCACCACCUGGAGAAGCUUCUGAGAUUGUAAUAGAUGCUUUACGAGCUGGGAAAGGUGUAUUUUGCGAGAGGCUACCCAGUUUAGACAGGCAGACAGCAGAAGCUUGUUUUGAUGAAGCUGACAGAUGUGGAAGACCAUUGGUUUGUGGAUUCUACAAGCGUUUUGACCCAGCGCUGCAGUUCUUGUAUAAAAAAGUCCGUGACAGCCAGGCAUUGGGGAGGAUUCACCGGAUAUCGGCGACCAGCAGCAUAUAUCCAGCGGCUUCUCUUAGCUUCCUAAAAAAGUCAGGUGGAAUUUUUUAUAAUGCUGCUGUGCAUGAUAUAGAUAUUAUCAGUUUGUUGUUGGGAGAGAGUGCACCAGAUACAGUAUUUUCACUGGGACAUGCAUUCUGUGCAGAUAUGGCCUACUUGAAGGAUGCAGACACUGUAGCGGUCAGCAUGAAAUUCCCUAGCGGAGCAAUUGUCACUUUGGACGUCAGUCAGCACUGCACUAAAAGCUGUGAUCAGAGACUAGAGGUUCAUGGUUCUCAAGGAACGUUACGGGUAGAUAAUCAGAAUCCCUUGGGAAUUACAGAGCAUGGAACUUCUGUAUCCAUCUAUUCACAGACCCAUGCCGAUCGUUUCAGAGACGCGCACAGAGAGCUCUUUCGACACUUUCUUAGAACCCUGAAAGAACCUGAGGAA
This 1537-nucleotide long non-coding RNA is filed under the name Apteryx owenii (little spotted kiwi). RNAcentral describes it as "lncRNA (ENSAOWG00000008562.1)". Lineage: Eukaryota; Metazoa; Chordata; Aves; Apterygiformes; Apterygidae. The record is from RNAcentral.